This 2924-nucleotide ribosomal RNA is filed under the name Klebsiella pneumoniae. RNAcentral describes it as "bacterial LSU rRNA". It matches the Rfam family "Bacterial large subunit ribosomal RNA". Lineage: Bacteria; Pseudomonadati; Pseudomonadota; Gammaproteobacteria; Enterobacterales; Enterobacteriaceae. The record is from RNAcentral.
GGGUUGUGAGGUUAAGCGACUAAGCGUACACGGUGGAUGCCCUGGCAGUCAGAGGCGAUGAAGGACGUGCUAAUCUGCGAAAAGCGUCGGUAAGGUGAUAUGAACCGUUAUAACCGGCGAUGUCCGAAUGGGGAAACCCAGUGCAAUUCGUUGCACUAUCGUUAACUGAAUACAUAGGUUAACGAGGCGAACCGGGGGAACUGAAACAUCUAAGUACCCCGAGGAAAAGAAAUCAACCGAGAUUCCCCCAGUAGCGGCGAGCGAACGGGGAGCAGCCCAGAGUCUGAAUCAGCUUGUGUGUUAGUGGAACGGUCUGGAAAGUCCGACGGUACAGGGUGAUAGUCCCGUACACCAAAAUGCACAGGUUGUGAACUCGAAGAGUAGGGCGGGACACGUGGUAUCCUGUCUGAAUAUGGGGGGACCAUCCUCCAAGGCUAAAUACUCCUGACUGACCGAUAGUGAACCAGUACCGUGAGGGAAAGGCGAAAAGAACCCCGGCGAGGGGAGUGAAAAAGAACCUGAAACCGUGUACGUACAAGCAGUGGGAGCACCUUCGGGUGUGACUGCGUACCUUUUGUAUAAUGGGUCAGCGACUUAUAUUCUGUAGCAAGGUUAACCGUAUAGGGGAGCCGCAGGGAAACCGAGUCUUAACUGGGCGUUAAGUUGCAGGGUAUAGACCCGAAACCCGGUGAUCUAGCCAUGGGCAGGUUGAAGGUUGGGUAACACUAACUGGAGGACCGAACCGACUAAUGUUGAAAAAUUAGCGGAUGACUUGUGGCUGGGGGUGAAAGGCCAAUCAAACCGGGAGAUAGCUGGUUCUCCCCGAAAGCUAUUUAGGUAGCGCCUCGUGAACUCAUCUUCGGGGGUAGAGCACUGUUUCGGCUAGGGGGUCAUCCCGACUUACCAACCCGAUGCAAACUACGAAUACCGAAGAAUGUUAUCACGGGAGACACACGGCGGGUGCUAACGUCCGUCGUGAAGAGGGAAACAACCCAGACCGCCAGCUAAGGUCCCAAAGUCAUGGUUAAGUGGGAAACGAUGUGGGAAGGCACAGACAGCCAGGAUGUUGGCUUAGAAGCAGCCAUCAUUUAAAGAAAGCGUAAUAGCUCACUGGUCGAGUCGGCCUGCGCGGAAGAUGUAACGGGGCUAAACCAUGCACCGAAGCUGCGGCAGCGACACUAUGUGUUGUUGGGUAGGGGAGCGUUCUGUAAGCCUGCGAAGGUGACCUGUGAGGGUUGCUGGAGGUAUCAGAAGUGCGAAUGCUGACAUAAGUAACGAUAAAGCGGGUGAAAAGCCCGCUCGCCGGAAGACCAAGGGUUCCUGUCCAACGUUAAUCGGGGCAGGGUGAGUCGACCCCUAAGGCGAGGCCGAAAGGCGUAGUCGAUGGGAAACAGGUUAAUAUUCCUGUACUUGGUGUUACUGCGAAGGGGGGACGGAGAAGGCUAUGUUAGCCGGGCGACGGUUGUCCCGGUUUAAGCAUGUAGGCUGGUUGUCCAGGCAAAUCCGGAUAAUCAAGGCUGAGGUGUGAUGACGAGGCACUACGGUGCUGAAGUAACAAAUGCCCUGCUUCCAGGAAAAGCCUCUAAGCAUCAGGUAACAUCAAAUCGUACCCCAAACCGACACAGGUGGUCAGGUAGAGAAUACCAAGGCGCUUGAGAGAACUCGGGUGAAGGAACUAGGCAAAAUGGUGCCGUAACUUCGGGAGAAGGCACGCUGGUGUGUAGGUGAAGUCCCUGCGGAUGGAGCUGAGACCAGUCGAAGAUACCAGCUGGCUGCAACUGUUUAUUAAAAACACAGCACUGUGCAAACACGAAAGUGGACGUAUACGGUGUGACGCCUGCCCGGUGCCGGAAGGUUAAUUGAUGGGGUUAUCCGUAAGGAGAAGCUCUUGAUCGAAGCCCCGGUAAACGGCGGCCGUAACUAUAACGGUCCUAAGGUAGCGAAAUUCCUUGUCGGGUAAGUUCCGACCUGCACGAAUGGCGUAAUGAUGGCCAGGCUGUCUCCACCCGAGACUCAGUGAAAUUGAACUCGCUGUGAAGAUGCAGUGUACCCGCGGCAAGACGGAAAGACCCCGUGAACCUUUACUAUAGCUUGACACUGAACAUUGAGCCUUGAUGUGUAGGAUAGGUGGGAGGCUUUGAAGCGUGGACGCCAGUCUGCGUGGAGCCAACCUUGAAAUACCACCCUUUAAUGUUUGAUGUUCUAACGUUGGCCCCUUACCGGGGUUGCGGACAGUGUCUGGUGGGUAGUUUGACUGGGGCGGUCUCCUCCCAAAGCGUAACGGAGGAGCACGAAGGUUAGCUAAUCCUGGUCGGACAUCAGGAGGUUAGUGCAAUGGCAUAAGCUAGCUUGACUGCGAGCGUGACGGCGCGAGCAGGUGCGAAAGCAGGUCAUAGUGAUCCGGUGGUUCUGAAUGGAAGGGCCAUCGCUCAACGGAUAAAAGGUACUCCGGGGAUAACAGGCUGAUACCGCCCAAGAGUUCAUAUCGACGGCGGUGUUUGGCACCUCGAUGUCGGCUCAUCACAUCCUGGGGCUGAAGUAGGUCCCAAGGGUAUGGCUGUUCGCCAUUUAAAGUGGUACGCGAGCUGGGUUUAGAACGUCGUGAGACAGUUCGGUCCCUAUCUGCCGUGGGCGCUGGAGAAUUGAGGGGGGGCUGCUCCUAGUACGAGAGGACCGGAGUGGACGCAUCACUGGUGUUCGGGUUGUCAUGCCAAUGGCACUGCCCGGUAGCUAAAUGCGGAAGAGAUAAGUGCUGAAAGCAUCUAAGCACGAAACUUGCCCCGAGAUGAGUUCUCCCUGAGACUUUAAGUCUCCUGAAGGAACGUUAAAGACGAUGACGUUGAUAGGCCGGGUGUGUAAGCGCAGCGAUGCGUUGAGCUAACCGGUACUAAUGAACCGUGAGGCUUAACCUUACAACGCCGAAG